AAAACAUUAAAAAACGUUAAUUUUCAAUGUCAUGUUGGCAAAAAUAAGUUUCAUUACUCCACUCCUACAACUGGUGUGUGCGUCAAAUGUAGCAAGGAAGGGACGUCCUAAAAUGAUAGGAAUUUCAUUUUCAGAAUGAAAAACAGGUUAUGUAUCCAAAAUAACAAAGUCAACAGGGUAGUAAAAUUUGUCCACUUGGACCAAUACAUCCUCAAUUACC
RNAcentral lists this long non-coding RNA (220 nucleotides) under Prunus persica (peach). RNAcentral's name for it is "long non-coding RNA (PPER_LNC000963)". Lineage: Eukaryota; Viridiplantae; Streptophyta; Magnoliopsida; Rosales; Rosaceae. The record is from RNAcentral.